AGAGUUUGAUCAUGGCUCAGAACGAACGCUGGCGGCAUGCCUAACACAUGCAAGUCGAACGCCCCGCAAGGGGAGUGGCGCACGGGUGAGUAACGCGUGGGAACCUGCCCCGAGGUGGGGGAUAACCGAUGGAAACGUCGGCUAAUACCGCAUACGUCCCUAGGGAGAAAGAUUUAUCGCCUUGGGAGGGGCCCGCGUCG
This 200-nucleotide ribosomal RNA is filed under the name uncultured bacterium. Its description in RNAcentral is "partial 16S ribosomal RNA". It matches the Rfam family "Bacterial small subunit ribosomal RNA", at positions 8 to 238 of the family's 1533-position model. The record is from RNAcentral.